GGGGGCGGGAGGCGCGAGGCGCGGCUGCGCCCAGCACUGGCCCCACCUCCCACGCGCCCGCGGGAGAUUUGCUUGGGGCUGGAUCCCCCGCCUACCGUUUCCCCGCAGCCGCCGGCGCUUCUGGCGCUUGUGACCCGAGCAGGAAGCCCAGAGAGAAACCAGAAAGACAGGAAGGGGAUUCCUGGACUUCCUUUCCACAUCCGGCAGGAACGCGACCCUCCUCCAGCUAGGAGCGCUUGUCCGGUUCAAAGAAAUCACUUUUCUAACAAGAGGCCUGAAAGAGCAGACAGUAAAACACAGAAAAGACAGCUGGGACACAGAAGGACUGGGGUGGACAGCCGAGAGUCUCCCGGGCGCACCAAGAUGCCUGCAGCUUCAAGAAGAUGUAUGGGAACAGACACAGAAACUUUCCCUACCAGAUAAGCAGGACAAAGAAACACAGACUAAGAGUUGGCCUGUGUGGUCACGGAGUGGGUUAAGAGAUGAUAAAAAAAUCUGCUCUGUACAGAUGGCACACCUGGUCCCAACUAAACCCUGGGGCCCUAGAAAGAUAAGACAUCCCCUCCUCACAAGCCCCUCCUCAAGAGCCCCCUCCUCAAGAGCCCAUUUAUAAAAACUCUGACAUUCUUAACUACAACUUGGCAAUCUUCUCAGGAUCCCUCUCUAACAGAGACCUGUUCUUUCCUUUUGCCUAUUAAACUCCUGCUCCAAAC
Molecule: long non-coding RNA, 713 nt
Filed under: Homo sapiens (human)
Lineage: Eukaryota; Metazoa; Chordata; Mammalia; Primates; Hominidae
Description: HSALNT0366663
Source: RNAcentral